Molecule: ribosomal RNA, 492 nt
Filed under: uncultured bacterium
Lineage: Bacteria
Description: partial 16S ribosomal RNA
Rfam family: Bacterial small subunit ribosomal RNA
Source: RNAcentral
AGUGAACGCUGGCGGUAGGCCUAACACAUGCAAGUCGAACGGCAGCACAGUAAGAGCUUGCUCUUACGGGUGGCGAGUGGCGGACGGGUGAGGAAUACAUCGGAAUCUACUUUUUCGUGGGGGAUAACGUAGGGAAACUUACGCUAAUACCCCAUACGACCUACGGGUGAAAUCAGGGGAUCUUCGGACCUUGCGCGAUUGAAGGAGCCGAUGUCGGAUUAGCUAGUUGGCGGGGUAAAGGCCCACCAAGGCGACGAUCCGUAGCUGGUCUGAGAGGAUGAUCAGCCACACUGGAACUGAGACACGGUCCAGACUCCUAUGGGAGGCAGCAGUGGGGAAUAUUGGACAAUGGGCGCAAGCCUGAUCCAGCCAUACCGCGUGGGUGAAGAAGGCCUUCGGGUUGUAAAGCCCUUUUGUUGGGAAAGAAAAGCAGCAGGUUAAUACCCCGCUGUUCUGACGGUACCCAAAGAAUAAGCACCGGCUAACUUCGUG